UACGUAGGUGGCAAGCGUUGUCCGGAUUUAUUGUGCUUCCCUCUCUCGCAGGCGGUCUUUUAAGUCUGAUGUGAAAGCCCCCGGCUUAACCGGGGAGGGUCAUUGGAAACUGGGAGACUUGAGUGCAGAAGAGGAAAGCGGAAUUCCAUGUGUAGCGGUGAAAUGCGUAGAUAUAUGGAGGAACACCAGUGGCGAAGGCGGCUUUCUGGUCUGUAACUGACGCUGAGGCUCGAAAGCGUGGGGAGCAAACAGGAUUAGAUACCCUGGUAGUCCACGCCGUAAACGAUGAGUGCUAAGUGUUGGAGGGUUUCCGCCCUUCAGUGCUGCAGCAAACGCAUUAAGCACUCCGCCUGGGGAGUACGACCGCAAGGUUGAA
This 376-nucleotide ribosomal RNA is filed under the name uncultured bacterium. RNAcentral describes it as "bacterial SSU rRNA". It matches the Rfam family "Bacterial small subunit ribosomal RNA", at positions 524 to 898 of the family's 1533-position model. The record is from RNAcentral.